Molecule: ribosomal RNA, 497 nt
Filed under: uncultured bacterium
Lineage: Bacteria
Description: partial 16S ribosomal RNA
Rfam family: Bacterial small subunit ribosomal RNA
Source: RNAcentral
GAUGAACGCUGGCGGCGUGCCUAAUACAUGCAAGUCGAGCGAACAGAUGAGGAGCUUGCUCCUCUGACGUUAGCGGCGGACGGGUGAGUAACACGUGGAUAACCUACCUAUAAGACUGGGAUAACUUCGGGAAACCGGGGCUAAUACCGGAUAAUAUAUUGAACCGCAUGGUUCAAUAGUGAAAGACGGUUUUGCUGUCACUUAUAGAUGGAUCCGCGCCGCAUUAGCUAGUUGGUAAGGUAACGGCUUACCAAGGCAACGAUGCGUAGCCGACCUGAGAGGGUGAUCGGCCACACUGGAACUGAGACACGGUCCAGACUCCUACGGGAGGCAGCAGUAGGGAAUCUUCCGCAAUGAGCGAAAGCCUGACGGAGCAACGCCGCGUGAGUGAUGAAGGUCUUCGGAUCGUAAAACUCUGUUAUUAGGGAAGAACAAAUGUGUAAGUAACUAUGCACGUCUUGACGGUACCUAAUCAGAAAGCCACAGCUAACUACGUG